Long non-coding RNA from Corvus hawaiiensis (hawaiian crow), 1353 nucleotides. RefSeq lists it as uncharacterized. The transcript is spliced from 3 exons. The record is from RefSeq and is a predicted model, not a curated record. Lineage: Eukaryota; Metazoa; Chordata; Aves; Passeriformes; Corvidae.
UAAAACAUUAACUCCAAAAGCCAAAGGUUAAAAAUAAUAGUGUUUCAGCCAGGAAGAACAAAUGGUUUAAUACAUACUUUACCCAGUAUGUUGCUGUGCUCUGGCAUUAUACCUCUUUUCCUGCAGCCUGAUUUCAAGGUGGACUUAUGAGGAAAAAACAGCUCAAGUGAGAUCUCUGAAUUUCAGAGGAAGGCACAUCCUUUCAAUACAUUGAAGUCUGGAAAGCUCGCAGGCAUGUGCUGGCCUCUGAGACAAUGCUGUUCUCUCUGUGGUCCACCACGAAGUCUGCAUCAGUUGCUGUCCCAAAGCAUUUAUCAGCCUGAUUGGACCCCAACCCAUAAACUGUUUUUGUGGUAGCAGUUACUGCGAUGGUCACAGAGCGAUUGCAGAAUCAGAAAUGUAUGAAGAGACUUGGAAGAGAAGUGUGGAAGAUGUGUCCAUACAAUCAAGAACUUGGUCUUUUGCACAGCAUUCUUCCUUAUAGCCAUCACUAUUGAUCAGAGUCUUUAGAAGUGUGACCAUUUCCAAGUCAGCUUAUGUAGAUUUUAUUGUUUUCUUCAUGUGUGCUGUCAGUGGCAUCACUUCAGUUUUUGGGAAAAGGCCAUCUCUUCCUGCAAGUAUCAUAAGCCAGUGUCAAGGCAUUUAUGUUUCAUGAUUCACUUGUGAGAGAAGGCUUGUGGUUCAUUACAUACGUUGUGGAAAUAGCUGUUAGUACAAGCUGACUUUCUUCCCACCUUGCCCUUGCUCCGGAAUGAGGCCACGUGUGCACAUUGCCACGAUAGCAGGCUCUAAGUGCCGGAAGAAUUCAGAGCUAUUUUUUGCCCUGCAUGCCAGAUCCAGCAUGUAAGGUUAUAUUUAAGUUACUCAUUACCUUUUCUUCUUGGAGGGAGCCUUUAUCCAUCUAUUUGUAGAUAGCAUGAAGAGCUGACUUUUAAUUUUGUCCUUGACAGCACAUCGGAAUGAUUUUGCUUUAAUCUCCUGCUAAGCACUGCUAAAAUGCCUGGUCAGUGGAAAAUUACCUUAUCAAUACCAUUAAGUGAUAACAACAGCUGAAGAGGCCUUUAUUGUACAGUCCAAACUACCUGCAUUGCCAAAGACUAUCAAAUCCUUGUUAUGAAGCUUAUUGUAAAAUGUCACACCUCCAGAACAGGAUGCGGCUACUACAUCAUCAUGACUUGAACUUGCUGUUUAUGUAAAGCCAGGGAAAGGUACCUUUUCAAAUUUAAGAGCAUAACGAACUUUUAAACAGUUUUCACUACAGAAACUGGCAAUAAGGAUAGAUAAGGAGGUCACUGGACAGUAAAAUACAUUAGCAGAAGCUCUACACACAAUGGACAAAAGUUAAAAAAACAA